Vidua chalybeata is the source of this 983-nucleotide long non-coding RNA. RefSeq lists it as uncharacterized. Lineage: Eukaryota; Metazoa; Chordata; Aves; Passeriformes; Viduidae. The record is from RefSeq and is a predicted model, not a curated record. The transcript has 2 exons.
GGUAAGGGAAGAUUGACUUGGAUAACUAUCAUAGCAGGGCGUCCCCAGAGUGGUGAUAAUUAGCAUUGACUCCAUGAUUCCAGAAGGCUGAUCAAUCGCUUUAUUGUAUUAUACUAUACUCUACUACUAAGAAACACUCAUUGCUCUUGCAGACAAUCUGAUACAGACAGACCAGAUUGCUUGAUUGAAAUCCAAACACCGUCGCCAUUGGCCAAUUAAGAAAUCACCCUUUGGUAAAAAAAUCUACAUAACACAUUCCACAUGUGCACAACAGGCGCAGCAAGUGAAGGUAAGAAUUGUUUCUCAUUCUUUUCUCUGAGCUUUCUCACAGCUUCCCAGGAAAAUCCUGGGAGAGCUCUCUCUCUCUGUUCAGAGGAUAUGUGAUUACCACAGGUCAGUUGUGACAAUGCAGGCCCAAGGACACCACGGUGACACUUCAGAACCUCAUGGAACCAAGGGGCCAGUGUGACACUGUGCUGCCUCAUGGAAUCAAGGAGACCAUUGUGGAACUCGGGGGUCCCAAGGAACCAAGGGUCCAUGGUGACCUUGUGGAGCCCGCAGUGUCACAGAGGAGCCGUUGUGACACAGCGAGGGCGCAUGGAGCCGAGGGGCCAUUGUGACACAUCAGGGCUUUGUGGAACCACAAAGCCAUUGUGACAUUGCAAGGCCUCGUGGAAGCACGGGCCCAUUGUGACACUGCAGAAGCAAGGGGGACAUUGUGACACUCCAGGGCCUCAUGGAACCAAGGAGACCAUUGUGACACUGUGGGGUCCCACGAAACCAAGGGAACAUGGAACAGGUCUGGCUGGCUGGGGCUCCUGGGGACCACCUGACAGGACAAAAACAUCCAUCCUGACCAGGUGCCAAUGGCCAAAACUGGGAUUCCACCUCUAAAACUCCAUACAGCCAAGGAUUGCUCCCCAUUAAAAGCAGCCAGGACAGACAGGUCUGGCUGCCCUUGGCCUCUUGGGGGCUGCCUCUCA